This 221-nucleotide unclassified non-coding RNA is filed under the name Hevea brasiliensis (rubber tree). The record is from RNAcentral. Lineage: Eukaryota; Viridiplantae; Streptophyta; Magnoliopsida; Malpighiales; Euphorbiaceae.
AGGUGAGUGGAUAAAUAUUUAACAUUGGUAAUUUUUAUUAAAUGUAUAUCUAUAUAUGUUAUUUUUCUUUAUACAAAAAUAGGAAUGGAUAAUGGUAAUUAUGUGUUUAUUAAUUAAAUGAAAUGAGAUUUAGAAGCACAGCUGAAUAAAUGACCAAAUACUCUAAAUAUAUGCACCAAAUAGAUAGCACUUCGAUGACAGGUGAUAUAAUUUCAGCUCAG